Molecule: long non-coding RNA, 1376 nt
Filed under: Ornithorhynchus anatinus (platypus)
Lineage: Eukaryota; Metazoa; Chordata; Mammalia; Monotremata; Ornithorhynchidae
Description: lncRNA (ENSOANG00000040096.1)
Source: RNAcentral
UGUGCCUCCGCGACCUCAUCUGUAAAAUGGGGAUUAAGACUGUUAGCCUCACGUGGGACAACCUGAUCACCCUGUAUCUACCCCAGUGCUUAGAACAGUGCUCCGCACAUAGUAAGCGCUUAACAAAUUACCAACAUUAUUAUUAUUACUACUAAUAAAAGAAGAAGGAAAGGUAAAAUCCCCCACGGAGCCCUAAGGGUUGACUAUAGUUUUGACAUGCAAAAGUUGGGGCCUCCAAGUGCAAAAUCACAUCUGGGGGUUUGCCAGACCAAAAAUACUGAAGGCUGAGACUUCAAUGGCUCCUUUCCACCCUCAGCCGUGCCUUAUACCCCGGGUUCCUGCCCUGCCCAAGGUGGGAGAGUGACGAUGACUGGGAGAUGGCGGCCGAAUCCCAGGUGAGCUGCGGUUGGUUCUGCGCUUCUUGAGGUCGCGCCUUUACUGCCAGAUUGUGGCCCUGUAGUCUUCCCACCCCCGUAGAGCUAACCUCCCUCCCUUUGGUGGGGGGCACAUUGAGCCUCAUUUCCUGUCCUCGUGUACACUAAGGUCGCUGGCCUCUUUAGUACGUGCCCUCCCUUUCCCCAGACCCCCCCGGUUGCCCUGAAUCAUCUCCGUUCCGUUGCCUGAGUUGAACCCUUCCACCUCCCACAGUUGGUGGAUGCGUUAGCUGCCCCCCAGCAAGGACUUAGCGAGGGUCUUGGGCUUGUUUGGGGGCCCGUGAGGCUUGAGCCCGUGCCCUUGUAUCUCUCCCAGGAGUCCUGGGCCACCUCAGCCCUGCUCAGAAGGACCUCUACGGGGACAUCGCGUCAGGAGCACCAGGCGAAUGAGAUCCCUCUACGGUUUCUGAGAUCCAGAGCGAGAACGAGGAGCAGAAUCUGGACCGGGAAACAUCUGAGGAAGCGGUCCUGCCUCGGGCCCUUAUUAGAAAACUCCAAAGACGGUGUUUUCCCAGGUCCUCUCCUGGAGAAAGACUGCCGAGGACGAAUGCGAGUUAGAACCACCACUGGCAGGUUUCCCCGGAGAGACGGUGGGGGAAAGCCACCCUCGAAGAGGGCUUAGGGGAAACUCAUAGACCAGCAGGGACUCUACCUGGUGGUCGACCAAACCCUAUAAAUGUGGGGAGUGCGUGAAGAGCUUUAGCCGAGCUCCCAUUUCAUCGCCCACCAAAGAAUCCACACGGGGGAGAAAACCCUAUAAAUGGCUUAGAAUUGUGGGGAAAAGCUUCAGUGAUCCGCUCGAACCUUCAAUACCCACCAGAGGAUCCACACGGGAGAGAAGCCCUACAAAUGUCUCGAGUGUGGGGAAGAGCUUCAGCGACCACUCGAAUCUCGUGGGCGCACCAGAGGAUUCCCACACGGCCGAGGAAAACCGUACACAAA